Molecule: ribosomal RNA, 722 nt
Filed under: uncultured Fusobacterium sp.
Lineage: Bacteria; Fusobacteriati; Fusobacteriota; Fusobacteriia; Fusobacteriales; Fusobacteriaceae
Description: bacterial SSU rRNA
Rfam family: Bacterial small subunit ribosomal RNA
Source: RNAcentral
GAUGAACGCUGACAGAAUGCUUAACACAUGCAAGUCAACUUGAACUUCGGUUUGGGUGGCGGACGGGUGAGUAACGCGUAAAGAACUUGCCUCACAGAUAGGGACAACAUUUGGAAACGAAUGCUAAUACCUGAUAUUAUGAUUUUAGGGCAUCCUAGAAUUAUGAAAGCUAUAUGCACUGUGAGAGAGCUUUGCGUCCCAUUAGCUAGUUGGAGAGGUAACGGCUCACCAAGGCGAUGAUGGGUAGCCGGCCUGAGAGGGUGAUCGGCCACAAGGGGACUGAGACACGGCCCUUACUCCUACGGGAGGCAGCAGUGGGGAAUAUUGGACAAUGGACCAAGAGUCUGAUCCAGCAAUUCUGUGUGCACGAUGAAGUUUUUCGGAAUGUAAAGUGCUUUCAGUUGGGAAGAAAAAAAUGACGGUACCAACAGAAGAAGUGACGGCUAAAUACGUGCCAGCAGCCGCGGUAAUACGUAUGUCACAAGCGUUAUCCGGAUUUAUUGGGCGUAAAGCGCGUCUAGGUGGUUAUAUAAGUCUGAUGUGAAAAUGCAGGGCUCAACUCUGUAUUGCGUUGGAAACUGUGUAACUAGAGUACUGGAGAGGUAAGCGGAACUACAAGUGUAGAGGUGAAAUUCGUAGAUAUUUGUAGGAAUGCCGAUGGGGAAGCCAGCUUACUGGACAGAUACUGACGCUGAAGCGCGAAAGCGUGGGUAGCAAACAGG